CCGCGCACCACGAGUGCCGCCCUGAAUCAUUAACUACCUGUAUUGGUAACUAAGUCGCGGUUAUCUGUUCAGACCCGGUGAAAGUACGCGAGUAUAUACCUACCUAAGUUUAAUGCGAACACAGCAGAAAAAAAAUAAAAUCCGUCGGCAUUGUGGUUUGCGGCGUUUCCCGUGAUUUAUACACAAUAAAACACACGGUAUUAUGUUUUUACGAUUU
Cinara cedri is the source of this 217-nucleotide non-coding RNA. The record is from the annotation of a GenBank genome assembly. NCBI's taxonomy places the organism in Eukaryota, Metazoa, Arthropoda, Insecta, Hemiptera, Aphididae.